Plutella xylostella (diamondback moth) is the source of this 961-nucleotide non-coding RNA. The record is from RefSeq and is a predicted model, not a curated record. Lineage: Eukaryota; Metazoa; Arthropoda; Insecta; Lepidoptera; Plutellidae.
UAGAUGAGCUAAAUCUAGAUAUGCAGGUUUCCUCACGAUGUUUUUCUUCACCGUAAGAGCGAUGGUAUACAUUGUACUUAAAUUCAAAGAACUCAUUGGCACAUGUGGGUGUUGACCCCCGUAUCUCUGGCGUGAGAAGCGGGCGCUUAUCCGACUGAGCUACACUGGUCUAUCAGUUUCAAUAUCAUUUAAAUGACUUUAUUGUUUUAAAAUAAUGUAUUUCUACACUUACCUUCUCAUUAUAGAGGCAUGGCCCGGGAGCAGCGGCGGUAUUCCCGAAAAAAUAGGAAAGCUGAAAUUUAGAAGAAAAAAAAUAUUAAAUAAAGAUAUAAGAAGAGAUGUAAGAAGGCAAGCAGACAAUGGGAUGGUAUGUCUGCAAAGCCAAUCAUAAAGAACCAAAUAAACUGCUUAUGGGCUUAUGGUUAUAUUAAACCGAUUGCAUGUAUCUAUAUACUCUAAGCAUGUAUCAUAUUUGUUUUCUCAGCCUCACACUUUAACUCAGGUUCGCUGAAGCAUUGGCAAGCUGAAUGUGAGAUGGUAUGUUGAUGUCCUGUACAUUGACACGGAAAUGAGGCAUUGAAGAUGUUAUGUUGGGGACAAUGCAUGAUAGAACAGUGAGUUUAUAAUCACUGUUGGCUGACUGGAUAGCAAAUCGAGCCUUUUGGUUGGUUGUGUUGGAAGCAUUGCACACACCAACAAUUGUUUUCUUCAUCGAAGAACUCAGUAUUAAUUCGCUUAGCUAGAUCCUUUAGGAUAAAAUUUACAGAGCUCCCUGAAUCUAGUAGAGCUCUAGCAUAGAUAUGCUCACCAUUUUUAGCUUGAAGCUUGACAGAUAUUGUAGGCAAUAAUACCUCACUCUGUAUGUUAGACAUCAAUGAAACAUGAUUAGUAGCAGCAGCGGCAGCGGGUUGGCUAUUAUGAAGCAAGGUGUUGUGCUUGCCUUUGUAGAUACCACACUUAA